This is a long non-coding RNA of Musa acuminata AAA Group (dessert banana), 1439 nucleotides long. RefSeq lists it as uncharacterized. The transcript has 2 exons. The record is from RefSeq and is a predicted model, not a curated record. Lineage: Eukaryota; Viridiplantae; Streptophyta; Magnoliopsida; Zingiberales; Musaceae.
UCUCUCCCGGCCUUGGUCGCCAAAGAGAGACAGGGUUCGGGGUCUUCGAUUCCCCUUCCAUCGAAUCCCGACUACUACUGUACGGGAAAUCGGCUGCGGGGUGGUCAGUGCGUUCUCGAUUUCCUCUCCUCGACGCUGCUUUCUCGGCUUUUAUCAGGUCCUUAAAGUAAUCUUCUCCAAAACCAUUGAACAUCAGUAAUGUUGUAGCAAACUAAUGCAUGGCCUUGUGCACCUCGAACCAGAAGGAUUAUGCUGCCAAGCCCCAUCCUUUGUACUUGCAGGACAUUCAGUUUGAUUGCAACUGGGAAGAUGUGACACGCCCAAUCUGUUUGAAUUUCCCUCACAAUGGGGUUCUUCUCUGGUGGUCUUUUUAUGAGAAGGGGAUGUCGGCCUUUCAUGUGUGAUAAAUUGUCUCGAGCAGUUCAAAAGUGCAUAUGGAGCACCUGUCGUUGUAAAAAUCACACCAACUAUAGAUGGGAUAACCAUGGAUGGCAUUCAAGAUAUUCUCCAAACUCCAGCUCCACCAACCUGUCCACUGUGUAGAGGGAAUGUUACUCUGCUGAUCGUUAUUGAUGAGACUUGUGUUUAUCCAAACAUGAAGAAAUGAUGGUGUGAAGAAAAACACUGUUCAUAUAUCAUCAAUUUUUCUGAGCUGUGGAAGCAUGGUCAACUAAAACACCCCUACUCCCACCCUUCAAAAAUACAACCCUGCACGACAACUUGACCAGGAAAAUUUCAGCAGCCCUCACAGAUCAUAGAUGUCUUGAGAACUACACAUGCAGAAGUACCCCAUGGAGUGGCUUUAGGUGAGUACGUCAUCGAACAUGGGGAUGCAGAUGUCAGAGAUGAGCAUGAAGGUUUUCCUCGGAGCAGGGGUAACUGGUGGGACUCCUGCAUAUUCUUUAAGGGAUUGCAUAGGGGUUCAAGAAACUGGCACAGAUCAAGAGAAAGUGGAAGAAGCAGGGUCACUGUUCAAAUUCUGAUGGUUCAAAUCUAGGUAAUGAGUCCACAAAUCUGUAGAUAUAAGAGAAUACAGAUUUGUUGAAACCGAUGACGAGCUUGCGAGAAUAGGUGCUGGUGCAGCAACAUCGGACAGGUAAGAGUGAUCCCUUAUUCUUUUCUUAGAAACUCAGGGGUCUGUAUUUUGCAGAGCAUGAUAUUUCCCCUCUUAGAAUCUGUGAUUUGCUUCUAAGGAGCUUCUCUUUGCUGAUAUUAUCAUGACAUCUCAUUUCUAUGGUCAUUGACAAACAAGAAACCACAGUAGCCGGUCUAUCAUCCAGGGGCAUCUUUUCAGCUUCACGGCUUAGUUCUGGCACCUUCAUAGAGUUCGUCAGUUGACAGUUAUAUCUGCGCAUAUUAAUGGAGUAUGGUAUGUAGUGCACCAUGCAUCCCUUGCUGCAAUCUAAGGAUUCAUCAAUGUAAUUCUUGUCCUUGUGUUA